GAAUUCACUAGUGAUUAGAGUUUGAUUAUGGCUCAGGAUGAACGCUGGCGGCGUGCUUAACACAUGCAAGUCGAACGGACUCAUAUUGAAACCUAAUGAUUUAUGAUUUAGUGGCGGACGGGUGAGUAACGCAUGGAUAACCUGCCGUAUACCGGGGGAUAGCACUUACAGAUACGUGCUAGUACCGCAUAACCGCACGGCUCCGCAUGGGGCACUGUGAAAGACUCCGGUGGUAUACGAUGGAUCCGCGUCUGAUUACCUAGUUGGCGGGGUAACGGCCCACCAAGGCAUCGAUCAGUAACCGGCCUGAGAGGGUGGACAGCCACAUUGGGACUGAGACACGGUCCAAACUCCUACGGGAGGCAACAGUGGGGAAUAUUGCACAAUGGGGGAAACCCUGAUGCAGCGACGCCGCGUGAAUGAACAAAUAUCUCGGUACCUAAAGCUCUAUCAACUAGGAAGAUAAUGACGGUACCUGACCAAGAAACCACGGCUAACUACGUGCCAUCAGCCGCGGUAAUACAUAAGGGGCAAGCGUUAUCCGGAUUUACUGGGUGUAAAGGGAGCGUAGACUGCACCGCAAGUCUGGAGUGAAAUCGCGGGGCUUAACCCCGGAUCUGCUUUGGAAACUGUGCGGCUGGAGUGCACGAUGGGUAAUCUGAAUUCCUAGUGUAGCAGUGAUAUGCGUAGAUAUUAGGAUGAACACCAGUGGCGAAGGCGGCUUACUGAACUGUAACUGACGUUGAGGCUCAAAGGCGUGUGGAGCAAACAGGAGUAGAUACCCUGGUAGUCCAAACCGGUAACGAUGAUUACGAAGUGUCCGGGGACCAGGUCCUCCGGUGCCGGCGCGGUCGCAUUGAUUCAUCCGCCUGGGGGAAUACUUUUCGCUAAACGACACUCGGAGGAAUUGACGGGGAACCGCACAAACGGGGGAAGCAGGGGG
This 943-nucleotide ribosomal RNA is filed under the name uncultured bacterium. RNAcentral describes it as "bacterial SSU rRNA". It matches the Rfam family "Bacterial small subunit ribosomal RNA", at positions 1 to 945 of the family's 1533-position model. The record is from RNAcentral.